AGCCUCUCUCCUCCCUGGGAGCUCCGUGACCACGGUGCCCUGGGGUGAUCCCAAAUGCCAGGCCUGCCCAGCGCCCCUCACCUCUGGUGCCCAUGCCUUCCCAGCCGCAGCCUCCAGGGACGCACUUGGUCCCGGACAAAGACACUUGAGGUGCAAUCAGACACUGGCUCCCAGGAAGCUCCUUUUGUCCCGUGCUUCUGGGAGCAAAUGACCCAGAAAAACGUCUUGCCACUGACCCCUCUCUUCUCCAUUUCCAGGCUUCCUACGACCAGAGACCAUCCUGGUUCCUUGCCCACAGACCGCUCUGGGGACUGUUGUGACAACCUUCCGCUCGCCCCCGCCCCCGCCCCCUCCUACACUUCACUGCCCGGAGAUUUUACCCAGAGAAGGAAUAGAGGGAAACAAGAUUUGACCCAGAAAAAGAUGGCCCUGACUGAGGCCCCGAUGAUGACUGGACAGCCGGGCCCUGGUCAUGGGAGGAAGCUGGGCCAUCGGGGUGUGGACGCAUCUGGCGAAACCACUUACAAAAAGACCACGUCUUCCACCCUGAAGGGGGCCAUCCAGCUGGGCAUUGGCUACACUGUGGGCAACCUGAGCUCCAAGCCAGAGCGCGAUGUGCUCAUGCAGGACUUCUACGUGGUGGAGAGCAUCUUCUUCCCCAGCGAGGGCAGCAACCUCACGCCCGCCCACCACUUUCAGGACUUCAGGUUCAAGACCUACGCACCUGUCGCCUUCCGCUACUUCCGGGAACUCUUUGGGAUCCGGCCAGAUGAUUACUUGUACUCGCUGUGCAACGAGCCCCUGAUUGAGCUCUCCAACCCCGGCGCCAGCGGCUCCCUCUUCUACGUCACCAGCGACGACGAGUUCAUUAUCAAGACCGUGAUGCACAAGGAGGCGGAGUUCCUGCAGAAGCUGCUGCCCGGCUACUACAUGAACCUCAACCAGAACCCGCGGACGCUGCUGCCCAAGUUCUACGGGCUGUACUGCGUGCAGUCGGGGGGCAAGAACAUCCGCGUGGUGGUCAUGAACAACAUCCUGCCGCGCAUGGUCAAGAUGCACCUCAAGUUCGACCUCAAGGGCUCCACGUACAAGCGGCGGGCCAGCAAGAAGGAACGGGAGAAGAGCAGCCCCACCUACAAGGACUUGGACUUCAUCCAGGACAUGCCAGAGGGGCUCCUGCUCGACGCGGACACCUUCUCUGCGCUCGUCAAGACGCUGCAGCGGGACUGUCUGGUGCUAGAGAGCUUCAAGAUCAUGGACUACAGCCUGCUUCUGGGUGUGCAUAACAUCGACCAGCAGGAGCGGGAGCGGCAGGCCGAGGGUGCCCAGAGCACGGCGGAUGAAAAGCGGCCGCUGGGCCAGAAGGCGCUUUACUCCACAGCCAUGGAAUCCAUCCAGGGCGGCGCCGCGUGUGGGGAGGCCAUCGAAACAGAUGACACGAUGGGUGGGAUCCCUGCUGUGAACGGCCGAGGGGAGCGCCUGCUUCUGCACAUUGGAAUCAUCGACAUCCUGCAGUCCUAUAGGUUCAUUAAGAAGCUGGAACAUACCUGGAAGGCUCUUGUCCACGAUGGGGAUACCGUCUCUGUCCACCGGCCCAGCUUCUAUGCCGAGCGUUUCUUCAAGUUCAUGAGCAACACGGUUUUUCGGAAGAACUCCUCCCUGAAGUCGUCACCAUCCAAGAAGGGCCGUGGUGCCCUGUUGGCCGUCAAACCCCUCGGGCCUACAGCUGCCUUCUCAGCCAGCCAAAUCCCCAGUGAGCGGGAAGACGCCCAGUAUGACCUGCGGGGGGCCCGCAGCUACCCCACGCUGGAGGAUGAAGGUCGGCCCGACCUCCUGCCCUGCACCCCACCUUCUUUUGAGGAGGCCACCACGGCAUCUAUCGCCACGACCCUGUCUUCCACGUCCCUCUCCAUCCCAGAGCGGUCCCCCUCAGAGACCUCAGAGCAGCCAAGGCGGCGCACACAGUCCUCAGGACAGGACGGCCGGCCCCAGGAGGAGGCACGCGUGGAGGAGGACCUGCAGCAGAUCACGGUGCAGGUGGAGCCCACGUGCAGUGUAGAAAUAGUAGUCCCCAAGGAGGAGGAAGAGGGGGUGGAAGCUUCCCCGUCCUGUGCCUCUGCUGCUGUCGUCGAAGUAGAAACCGCCAGCCAGGCCUCAGAGCCUGCCAGCCAGGCCUCGGACGAGGAGGACGCACCCGCCGCUGACAUCUACUUUGGCAAGGGGAGCUCGGGGCUGCUCACUGCCUUGGUCCUGGCACCUGCCCUCCAAAUCUCCAGGCCUCGGGACAGUGUGGUUCGCGGACGGGAGGUACUGGACUUACUCUCCCCGGCAUCACCGACUGCGGGCCAUGACGCUGAGCUCCUCGGGGACUCCCACCGAUGAGAGGAGCUGGGUGUACUCCCCACUCCACUAUAGCGCACAGGCCCACUCAGCCUCCGACGGCGAGAGCGACACAUAAUUUCUAUGCAGUCAUCAACCCACAGGAAUGGAGCACACACUCGGCUAGCCCAGCUCGGCCCAGAGCACAGGAGGUGCCACCUGGCUGCCACUGGAUGUUGCUCGCUCACGUCCUCCCCUUGGCGACGGUCACUGACACUCCGGGCUGCAGCGCGAUUGCCCCCGGCUCCGUCACCCACCUGCGCCUGUGAUACUGUGAACCUCCCUGAGUCUCCAAUCACAUAUUUAUUUUGGGUCCUUACUCUUCGCACGCAGACGACAGCACGUGAGUGCUGUUUUGGGGAAAAGAAAAGAAAAGAACAGCGGAAAAAGAAGCAGCUCCAUUCUAAGCACUUUUUAGUUCUUUGCUACGCUUGCAUGCGUCUCACUGAGGGCAUAAGACCUAUCUGUUGCAGACCCCUCUCUGACUGUCUGCAGGCGCCGCCCGGCUCCACCUUUGUCUCGGAUGGGGCACCUAGGAGGGCAGAGCCACCAGACCCACCCUGGUCCCCGGGGCACCUCUGGAGGCCACCCACUCAGCAGCUGCUCUUGGCUCAGGUCUGUGAGCUGGACUCCUGUCCUCGGGGGAAGCCAACUGGUGGUCCAGGAGUGGCUCGCCACCCUGCUGACCCCUCAAUCUCUCAGCAUCUGUUUCCCACCAUGCCCUCCUCCCAGGCGACUUGAGGGCAGAAGUAGCCAGCCAGUGACGAGAAUGCAGACAUAGGACUGCCCCUCUUGGUGGAGCUCAGGGCUGUCGGCAUGUCUCUCAUCCACACGGACUGCUCAGUGUCUGGAAGACAGGGCCCAGGUGAUGGAGACAGCCUUUCAAAGCAGGCUUUCCAGAACAUCCGACUCUGAGAGGAAGCACCUGGGCCCUCAGCCACAGGACUCCCGGAGAGCUCGUGUCCUGGAGCAGGGGCCCUCCCCCGUGCAGGGACAGGGCCCAGGGAGCCAGACUGUCCUGCAAGAGUUCCCCCGGACUGGGGUGGGAAGCCUCUCUCAUUUUUCCAUGACGACGAUGCCUGCACUGACUAAGGAUAGAGGAAGAAAUUCUUCAUGGAAAACAAGACCUUUUUUGUCAUCUUCAGCAGGGGCAGCCAUUCCUGGGCUCAGAGCUCCGGUGAGUGGCCACCAGGUUACCCUGCUGUGUCCAGAGAGGGCUGCUGGGACCAACAGCUUUGCAGGGCUUCUCCCUCCCCCACCUAGACACACUCGCACCGCGUGAGGUGAGCAGUGAUGGCUGCCCCUCUGCGCUCUGCAGACCCACACCGACUCGGUCCCACAUGGGAGGAGCUGGGGACUGACUCAGAGCAAAGCCACACCUUUUGGAAGAAUUUCUCCCCAGCCCCUGCCUCCCUGGUGGAGCCUGAGACAGCCAGACAACCCGCCGAUCCAGGAAUCUGAUUUCUCAGUUCUUGCAGCUGUGUAAGCUGUUGCUCCUCUCUGCCAUGCAGGUCCCUUGUCCCACCGCGGACAGCCUGCUGUGGGGAACCUGCUAGUCUGGCUCUUCUCCGGAGGAUGAGGCUGCACCCCAAGGGCUGUCCUCUCACUGUCAAUAUGGGAGCAGCACCCCAGUUCUGAGCAGGGCCAUGGGGGAUACUCCAUACAGCCUGGGGAAAGGCAUCCUCAGAGGACCCAUCAGAAUAAGCUUGCAGGUGGCUCAAACAAGAAGCAAAAACAGCAUCCUCUCUCUUCUGCCCAAGGAGUAUUUGUCCAGACCCUGGGGAGCACCCUCAUCUGGACUGCAGACUGGUGCCUGUCUGCAGGCACCGUGGCCACGUGCCACGAGUCUCCAGUCUGUCCCUGACCAGUCCCACCAAGAGGGAAGGCAGGCAGAGCUCAGAAGGCACACAUCAGACCUGGAAGAUUAACAGGGACUGUUGUAUCACCCAAAUGCCAACGUGAGAGUCCUCACGCAGGCCCCUAGAGACCUGGCCCCAGAGAUGUCCUGAGCCCUGGUGGAGAUGACCAGCGCAGUAGCCCAGUCCUGGAGCAGUGGGCUCUGCGUCCAGGGUGUUCUUGGCUGGGGUAUCUGGAGCUAUAGGAGCCAGGAGGGGAGCUGCCUGCGUGGCCCCAUGAGGUCCCUGGUCCCUGCUGGGUCCCUUGGGCUUUCCUGAGUGAAUCACAGGACAAAUGUGCUGGUCAGAUGCUGACUCAUAGGAGUAAUUCACAAACCUUCUGGAUAUGACAUUUCUUUUUUUGUUUUAAGUCAGAAAGACCCUUUUGGAGACCCGUUUUGUGUUGUAUUAUUUGUCCCAGGACUGGGCAGGGGAGCAGGAAGGCAAGACCUUAUUUAUAACUGUGUACUGAACUCAUGGCCUUCCUCAUACCCCUGACCAGGAAGGCCCUGGACCCACCCAGCUGUCACCCUGCCCUGCCCCUCCCCCCCACAGUCCUCCAGAUGGAAAUCUGUAAAUUGCCCUGUUUCCCUCCUGGCUCAUUUCUGAUGGCCGCUGUCACUGAGAAUGUGAGCAGUGUCUGAUUUGCUGUACUGUAAAAACAAAAGGCAUUUCCCAAGGCUGACAAGGGGGAGCCUUCUGUGAGUCCCCUGCCAGCCUCCUCUCGACCCCUUUGCCUCCACCACCUGGCUCAGUGCAAUACUCCCAUCCCUGAUGGGGUCUCUUGCCAUGGUACUGUCGCCGCAGCCCCUCGGUCCCCAUCCCAACUUUGUUUUUAUGGCUGAACUGAUUUCAAAACACAUUGUAACUGCAAACCUUGUGUGUCUUAAUUCUCACUGGGGCUUCCACGUGCUCAGCCCCGGGUCUAGUAUGUGACAAUCCGGAGUGCAGCCUCCUGUAGGCGCCUCUGUAACCUUGCAGCCGCUGCUGGCCCUGAUAACACUCGUAUGCAGCCCCGGGCCCCGCCCCUGCCUCCCCUUCCUCUUUUUAUGUUGAAAGAUCUCUCUAAUAAAUUGGGUAAUAAGCAUCCGC
Phyllostomus discolor (pale spear-nosed bat) is the source of this 5366-nucleotide RNA transcript. It is a transcript of the gene named phosphatidylinositol-4-phosphate 5-kinase type 1 gamma, with no coding region annotated. The record is from RefSeq and is a predicted model, not a curated record. The transcript has 20 exons. Lineage: Eukaryota; Metazoa; Chordata; Mammalia; Chiroptera; Phyllostomidae.